AUUGAACGCUGGCGGCAGGCCUAACACAUGCAAGUCGAACGGUAACAGGAAGCAGCUUGCUGCUUUGCUGACGAGUGGCGGACGGGUGAGUAACGUCUGGGAAACUGCCUGAUGGAGGGGGAUAACUACUGGAAACGGUGGCUAAUACCGCAUAACGUCGCAAGACCAAAGAGGGGGACCUUCGGGCCUCUUGCCAUCAGAUGUGCCCAGAUGGGAUUAGCUAGUUGGUGAGGUAACGGCUCACCAAGGCGACGAUCCCUAGCUGGUCUGAGAGGAUGACCAGCCACACUGGAACUGAGACACGGUCCAGACUCCUACGGGAGGCAGCAGUGGGGAAUAUUGCACAAUGGGCGCAAGCCUGAUGCAGCCAUGCCGCGUGUAUGAAGAAGGCCUUCGGGUUGUAAAGUACUUUCAGCGGGGAGGAAGGUGUUGUGGUUAAUAACCGCAGCAAUUGACGUUACCCGCAGAAGAAGCACCGGCUAACUCCGUGCCAGCAGCCGCGGUAAUACGGAGGGUGCAAGCGUUAAUCGGAAUUACUGGGCGUAAAGCGCACGCAGGCGGUCUGUCAAGUCGGAUGUGAAAUCCCCGGGCUCAACCUGGGAACUGCAUUCGAAACUGGCAGGCUUGAGUCUUGUAGAGGGGGGUAGAAUUCCAGGUGUAGCGGUGAAAUGCGUAGAGAUCUGGAGGAAUACCGGUGGCGAAGGCGGCUCCCUGGACAAAGACUGACGCUCAGGUGCGAAAGCGUGGGGAGCAAACAGGAUUAGAUACCCUGGUAGUCCACGCCGUAAACGAUGUCUACUUGGAGGUUGUGCCCUUGAGGCGUGGCUUCCGGAGCUAACGCGUUAAGUAGACCGCCUGGGGAGUACGGCCGCAAGGUUAAAACUCAAAUGAAUUGACGGGGGCCCGCACAAGCGGUGGAGCAUGUGGUUUAAUUCGAUGCAACGCGAAGAACCUUACCUGGUCUUGACAUCCACGGAAGUUUUCAGAGAUGAGAAUGUGCCUUCGGGAACCGUGAGACAGGUGCUGCAUGGCUGUCGUCAGCUCGUGUUGUGAAAUGUUGGGUUAAGUCCCGCAACGAGCGCAACCCUUAUCCUUUGUUGCCAGCGAUUAGGUCGGGAACUCAAAGGAGACUGCCAGUGAUAAACUGGAGGAAGGUGGGGAUGACGUCAAGUCAUCAUGGCCCUUACAACCAGGGCUACACACGUGCUACAAUGGCGCAUACAAAGAGAAGCGACCUCGCGAGAGCAAGCGGACCUCAUAAAGUGCGUCGUAGUCCGGAUUGGAGUCUGCAACUCGACUCCAUGAAGUCGGAAUCGCUAGUAAUCGUGGAUCAGAAUGCCACGGUGAAU
RNAcentral lists this ribosomal RNA (1349 nucleotides) under uncultured bacterium. Its description in RNAcentral is "bacterial SSU rRNA". It matches the Rfam family "Bacterial small subunit ribosomal RNA", at positions 28 to 1367 of the family's 1533-position model. The record is from RNAcentral.